GAUUAAGAUCCCUAUAUAAUUCCAAAAUUAUUAAAAGUAAUUAAAAUAUAAAAGUAAAAUAAUGUUUUUCCUCUAAUAAUGACCCUCCUAUCCAACUUUUCUCAUUUUCGUAACUUCAUUCCUAAAUUUUGUUUCUCUUCCUUUCUAAUCUGAAAAGAAGAAACCCUCACCACUCGAAAAUCAAUCACUCAGUUUCGAAGAAAUUCUUUCUUUUUCCUUCUUCUCGGAUAAAAGAAACCCAGGGACCCUUCCUUCUUUCUUCUCCUCAGAUAGAAGAAACCCUAACAUGGUUGUGUCUCCCCAUGUCACACCCUUCCUUCUUCGUUCUUCGUAGCAAAGAAGUCAUUGACGAUUUAUUUGAAAGCCUAGCCAGGGCCACUACAUAUUCUAGGGCAUUGAUUGAGGCAUUUGGACGCCAGAGAAGGCGACGUAGACGAAGACGCCAACACGGUCCGCCACGAAGGUGCGGAUGGGGGCGACGUUCGUUUGGGUGUAAAGUCGCCAUGAAUUAGAGAAUAGCGACAUGGAAGAGAUAAACAAGGCGAGCAUCUGACGAGACUAACCUGUCACAGGAGAAAGUUUGCAUGAAGAUGAGGAGUUUGAUCAACAUCAAAGGCAACUUGCUACACUUCUGGUGUCAAAGGAAAUGCUUCAGGCUCAACUCUGUCGUUCCUGUGAGCACUGAAAGGAAGACAAGAAAGGUGAUAGAUACAAGAAGACAAUUAAUCUUGUUGAAUUCUGCACACACUUCUUAUGUUACUUUUGUGUGCAUUCUCUGUUGCAGGCUGUUUUUAAUCAGAGAAGAGUUUAUUAUGUUCAUAGAGUUUUUCUUGUAGUGUAUGUUUAAGCUACUUUUAUUUUUUGGAGAAACUCAUUUUAAAUUUCCUUAUGUAGAAGUUUGUCAGAACAAAUUCAAAUUAAAUUCUGAGUGAAUAUUUUCUUUUGAAUCAAUUAUUCCCUUAUUAUUCAGGAUGUCCUCCAAUAUUGUUCCCCUAAAAUUAUUCAACGCCAUGGUGUUAAUUAUAUUUUCAUAUAUGGUCAUUCAGUUCCAGGUAUUCAUUGUCCAAGUUCACUUCACAAUUUCUUACUAAUCGAAAAGCAGUAAAAUUGGAAGGAAGACACAUAAAUAGCUAAGUAGAAAAAAACUCCUGGCAAUGAUUUGCUGCAGAGCAUGAGAGAAGACCCGUUCCAUGAUUCAUAUCUCUUAUAAGUAAUUGAAAUUCAUCUCCUGAAGUAUAUACAUGAUUAUAUUUACUGAUCCCAACUCAAGUAAUUGAAAUUCAUCUCCUCUACUUUUAGUUUGUGUUUCUGGUUUCCAUCUUUUAAGUUUGUUUAGUUUAGAUUGAAUAAAGCAAGGUUUCUUAUUGGAAUUCUCAAUAUAUAUAGUUAUGUGAUGAUCAUUUUUGUUUUGUUGUGAGAUGCAUGCUUAUAUGCCAUGAUGGAAGCUAUGAAAGUAGGGUACAAUACUUUAGUAUUGUCUUUACUUGGACAUGACCUUUCUCUGUUAUUUUCCCACCUGAUGAAUAACUUUUGGUAAAGGAUGCAUUUGGUUCAGUGAAAAAGGAGUACAUUUGGGAGAAGAAUUAAAAAAGAGAGAAACCAGAGAACAUUCCUUCACAAAAAAGUACUCCAUCUGGAAGUAAGCUUUACAAGUAAUGUUGAUAUGUCUCAUUUGCAUCAAAGACCAGACAAGGAACAAGCUCUAAGCACAAGAGAUAUCCUAGAAAGGACAGAGAAAUGGAAAUUUGCUGUUGAGGAAGAAAAGUGGUUAGAUGAAUAAUUUUGAAAAGUUUUUGUUUAUGAUGAGAAGGAUAGUAGCUUGGUGUAGCUUAUGUGCAUAUAUGAGUGUAUAUAUUUCUUGUUAAAAGGUAUUUUUUAAGGUCUGAAAGUGCAUAUUUUUUUUUCAUAGGAGGGAAUCUUGUUU
Molecule: long non-coding RNA, 1924 nt
Organism: Vigna radiata var. radiata (mung bean)
Lineage: Eukaryota; Viridiplantae; Streptophyta; Magnoliopsida; Fabales; Fabaceae
Exons: 7
Source: RefSeq, a predicted model, not a curated record